GAGCGUAUAGUUCAGUGGUAGAGUGCAUGCCUAGUAUGCACAAGGUCCUGGGUUCAAUCCCCAGUACCUCCA
This 72-nucleotide transfer RNA is filed under the name Camelus ferus (Wild Bactrian camel). It matches the Rfam family "tRNA". From Rfam's summary of the family: Transfer RNA (tRNA) molecules are approximately 80 nucleotides in length. Their secondary structure includes four short double-helical elements and three loops (D, anti-codon, and T loops). The record is from Rfam by way of RNAcentral. Lineage: Eukaryota; Metazoa; Chordata; Mammalia; Artiodactyla; Camelidae.